UACGUAGGUGGCGAGCGUUGUCCGGAAUUACUGGGUGUAAAGGGCGUGUAGGCGGGAAUGCAAGUCAGAUGUGAAAGCCCAUGGCUCAACUGUGGGACUGCAUCUGAAACUGUGUUUCUUGAGUGCUGGAGAGGAAAGCGGAAUUCCAAGUGUAGCGGUGAAAUGCGUAGAUAUUUGGAGGAACACCAGUGGCGAAGGCGGCUUUCUGGACAGUAACUGACGCUGAGGCGCGAAAGCGUGGGGAGCAAACAGG
Molecule: ribosomal RNA, 253 nt
Filed under: uncultured bacterium
Lineage: Bacteria
Description: partial 16S ribosomal RNA
Rfam family: Bacterial small subunit ribosomal RNA
Source: RNAcentral